This 3239-nucleotide long non-coding RNA is filed under the name Delphinapterus leucas (beluga whale). Its description in RNAcentral is "lncRNA (ENSDLEG00000021069.1)". The record is from RNAcentral. Lineage: Eukaryota; Metazoa; Chordata; Mammalia; Artiodactyla; Monodontidae.
UAACUGUUGCUACAUGGAUUUAAGACCGCCGUAACAAUAGCAGUCAAGGGACCCUACUUCAGAGUUACAUUUUUCUCUGUGGAAAUACCUGCCUUAAUGCCAUUGGAAUACAGACAGAAGUACUGAGUGACAACAUGAUAGACUAGAAGUCUCCUGACUUUGGAGUCAGACUGACGCCCGCAAUUGGCCUCAGUGUCUAUGUCUUUAUACAAGGAAUGAACCUUGCUGGAUUGGGAGGAUUAGAAAUGACAUAUGUAAAGAACUCACCGUACUUUACAAAUACUGUGGCCCAUAGUGGACAUUCAAUAAUGGAAGCUGCACAUAAGGACGAUGUAGUUUAAAGAAAAGAGCCCUGGCCUGGGAACUGGGGUACCAGGGUUCUGUUACCCAAACACUGGGUUCAUCUCUUGGUGGGUGUCAAGUCAAAAGACACAACCAAGCCAAAGAUCUAUUAGGGGAACCACUGACUGAAGCCACCCGCCCUAGCCAGGCCCGAUAGUAACCACUUGCAUGAGUUCUCUUACAACAAGAUGUCCUGGUAAGGAAUGUGGAACUGACAAGCUAUCAGCAACCGGGAUAAUUUGGGAAAGGUCAAAAGGAGAGAGGAGAAACCAGUCCAUAUGUCCUACCAACCUCCCAGAAUCCUUCUCGCUGGAAUCCAUCUUGGCUGAGUGAUGCACACGCCACCAGGAAGGACCCUGAGUCAGAGUGAUUGGCCAGAGACAACCAGGAAACUAAUGCCAUUACCAUAAAACCGGAGACUGCGAGCCACGAAGCAGAGCAGUUCUCCUGGGUUCCCUUACCCUGUUGCUCUCUGCCCCGGCGCCCCUUCCCAAUAAAGUCUCUUGCUUUGUCAGCACGUGUGUCUCCUUGGACAGUUCAUUACCAAGUGUUAGACAAGAGCCCACUCUCGGGCCCUGGAAGGGGUUCUCCUUCCUGCAACAAAUGGUGACUCUGGUGGGCCUCUUCUUCGCUACGACUGACAUCCUGGCCACUCGGGGUACUCAGGGACCAGCUCGCCUGCCGACAGACCAGACCCAGAGGCCGCAACUGGGACCCUUUUGUCCCACAUGUCCUUCUGACACACAUGACUGGCCAGAGUGCCCUGACCAGAAUUCUGACCCUGAGGGAACAAGUCCUACUAGGAGAACUUGACUUUCUCUCCCUGUGCCUUGAGACCAGUGCUCUCAGGAUCACUUAUCUUAUCUAGACCAUCUCUAAUUCCUGAGACUGAGGGGGAAAAAAAGGUAAGAAGACUUUUAAAUUUUACCUAUUCCAACUGUUAUUUAUAAGCUAGUGAGUUUUAUAUUGUAAUACCUGAUUCAUGACUAAGCUUAGAAACGAGGCUAUGAGACCUCUGGUUGUAUCUGUCUAUAUGUUUAUGUGUGCAUUAUCUUUGUUUUUACCUUUGGAUGGUAUUAACAAAAUUAAUUUGUAAGUGGGCUCCACUUAAUUGGAUUAAAGGAAAUUAAGCGCUUAUAUAAAUUCUCAAAAACACACAGAAGGUAACUGGCCAGAAUUAAUUUUAGGUUCACGUGAACUGGGAAAUAUUCAGUAUUAAAUUAAUACCUGGUAUUAAUGUUUAAGUUUGUUGAUCUAAUUAAUAUAGACAUGUCUUUAGAGUCAUCAACAUCAAAUAUAAUACCUUUAUUGUACUUGGGUUUAAUAGAAGUCAAAUAAGACUUUAUUAUGUCUGUUGCAAAUUUUUCAGCAAGAAAAAUAACUUCGUAUGAUGAAAUUUUUAUAAGUGUAUUAAAUGCAAGUGAGAUAAGAGCUUUUGGAUGAACUUUUUAGGAAUAAUUAUGUUUUAGAAAUGUCUACUUGAGGAUGAUCUCUCCAGAUAUUUGGUAAUGUGAAAUUUUAUAGUUGUGUUAAGUUAAAUGAUGGAAGUUUGUUGAAUAGCUGGGUCAUUCCCAAAUAAAAUAAGAUGCUGAGACAUCAGUUACUAAACAGAGAAACUAAAGAUAUUUAGGACUAUUAAUGAAUAGGUUUAGUGCCACCCUGAGAUGUUCUCUAUUUGAAAGCAAAUGUGGUACUUCCAUGGUGGCACAGUGGUUAAGAAUCUGCCUGCCAGUGCAGGGGACACAGGUUCAAUCCCUGGUCCAGGAAGAUCCUACAUGCCACAGAGCAACUGAGCCUGUGUGCCACAACUACUGAGCCUGCACUCUAGAGCCCAUGAGCCACAACUACUGAGGCCUGUGUGCCUAGAGCCCAUGCUCUGCAACAAGAGAAGCCACUGCAAUGAGACACCCAUGAACUGCAGUGAAGAGUAGCCCCCGCUUGCUGCAACUAAAGAAAGCCUGCACACAGCAAUGAACACCCAACACAGCCAAAAAUAAAUAAAUAAAUAAAUAAAUAAAUAAAUAAAAUAAAAUAAAACUCCCUCUGCUUAAAAAAAAAAAAAAAAGAAGGUAUGAGGAAUAGAAUUGCAUUUUAUUAGUGAAAAGAAAGUAAGUCUGACUGAGAGCUGGUUGUUUCUGGAUAGAAGAAAAAGUGAUGGAUACAGAAAGUGAUGGAAGAUUUGUGGGGAGUGGACCCUGAAGAAAGAGUUUUGUGCAUGGUCAGGACUGGCUAAGUUUAGAAUAAAUUUAAUUGAUUAAAUGAAUUUUAAAAGUAAGCUGGUACAAAACUUGAAUUUGGCUUUUCUCUCUGUUAAGAGAACAAGUUUUCUUAAAAUGUUGAACUGCCUUUGAUAACAGAUUUUAAGUUUCUUUACCUUUUAAGCGAUAUGUUCUGUAUUUGCCUUUGAAAUCUUUUGUUACUUUGGCUAAGUGAAUAACUAUUGUUUCACAGUGACCUGUGAUCCUAUCUGACUGAGUGUUCUAACGCUUUUGAUAUUUUUCUGACAAACUUUCCAAAUAUCAAAUUUUAAUUACAGUUCUUUUGACCUCCAGCUAAGUUCGAGAUGCUUUAGAAGACCCAUGAAGCAUCUCACAGAGAAAUAUUUCAUCAGUAUGUUAAAUUACAAUACAUGGAGAGCAUUAUUACAUGAGUGAUAAACUUUUUAAAAAAUAUACUGUAUGGAACGGGAAGUGGAGUCCAUCUGCGAUGACCUCUAACUUUAAGAAGGCAAACAUGGCAUCAACUGCUCAGUGAAAAAGGAUGAGUCCUAAACCGGAGCUACUGAAGAGCAGAAACAGGAAAUUCAAGAAGCUUUUGAUCUCUUUGAUGCUGACGGAACUGGGACAACUGAUGUUAAGGAACUUAAGGUGGCAGUGAGGGCACUGGGCUUUGAACCC